CCUACGGGAGGCUGCAGUGGGGAAUAUUGGACAAUGGGCGAAAGCCUGAUCCAGCCAUGCCGCGUGUGUGAAGAAGGCCUUCGGGUUGUAAAGCACUUUCAGUGGGGAAGAAAGCCUUGGGGCUAAUACCCUCGAGGAAGGACAUCACCCACAGAAGAAGCACCGGCUAACUCCGUGCAAGCAGCCGCGGUAAUACGGAGGGUGCGAGCGUUAAUCGGAAUUACUGGGCGUAAAGCGCGCGUAGGCGGUCUGAUAAGCCGGUUGUGAAAGCCCCGGGCUCAACCUGGGAACGGCAUCCGGAACUGUCAGGCUAGAGUGCAGGAGAGGAAGGUAGAAUUCCCGGUGUAGCGGUGAAAUGCGUAGAGCUCGGGAGGAAUACCAGUGGCGAAGGCGGCCUUCUGGACUGACACUGACGCUGAGGUGCGAAAGCGUGGGUAGCAAACAGGAUUAGAUACCCGUGUAGUC
RNAcentral lists this ribosomal RNA (465 nucleotides) under Vreelandella stevensii. RNAcentral describes it as "partial 16S ribosomal RNA". It matches the Rfam family "Bacterial small subunit ribosomal RNA", at positions 338 to 795 of the family's 1533-position model. Lineage: Bacteria; Pseudomonadati; Pseudomonadota; Gammaproteobacteria; Oceanospirillales; Halomonadaceae. The record is from RNAcentral.